Ctenopharyngodon idella (grass carp) is the source of this 838-nucleotide long non-coding RNA. RefSeq lists it as uncharacterized. The transcript has 2 exons. The record is from RefSeq and is a predicted model, not a curated record. Lineage: Eukaryota; Metazoa; Chordata; Actinopteri; Cypriniformes; Xenocyprididae.
AACAUUUUUUAAUAGAAAAAUACAAACAGGGUUGGAAAGAAAUUCUCUUUUCGGUGAACUAUUUCCUUAAGACAAAAUCAAAUAAUAUAAAAUUAAUAAUAAAAAAUGAAAAUAAAGAAUAUAUGUAAAUGAGCACUUAUGAAUAUAUGACUACAUGAAUAAACUUAAACUCAUAUUCAUCUGUUUCCAGAAUCUCAUCAAAGUUUGGACACAAACUGAUUCUUUAUAUCCACAUAUUAGUAAAGUCAUGAAAACUAUGAAAUAACACAAAUGGCAUUGUGGGAAUGAUGCAGUGAACAAAACAUGUUACACAAAUGAAAAUAUCUUAUAUUUGAGUUUGUUGAAGGAGGAACAGUUACUGUACGAUCACUUCAUGAUGCUCUUCAUUCAUCAUCUGCUCCAGAUCUAAACAUUAUUCAUGAUCAAGUAAAGCCUUUAUCUUGUUAAGAAAUUCACAUGAAUAUUUAAACAUAAUUUAUAUUUGUUUACAAAAGUCAUUUCAGUCAUUUAAGCAGAAGUCUUUAAAUUAAAAUGUUUUUAAGAUCCCAGGAAACAUAAAAUGACCCUGUCAGGACAAUCCAGACUCAAGCAAGUUGGAGAACGCAAGAAAAUUGGAAAAAUCACAAGAAGAUCUCUGGAGUGUCACAGGAACAUCAUUGAGUAUCACAGGUAAUCACAGGUGACAAUCAUUCAGGUGAGUUUCAUCACAGGUAACAGUCUGAAUCCACAGUCGAGCCAGAGGAAGAGUGACUGUGAGGAGUGUGAUCUUAUAGAGGAGAUGAAGAGGCGCUGAUGAUCGGUGAUCAUGUGACUGUGAGGAGUGUGAUCUUAUAGAGGA